Molecule: long non-coding RNA, 231 nt
Filed under: Nicotiana benthamiana
Lineage: Eukaryota; Viridiplantae; Streptophyta; Magnoliopsida; Solanales; Solanaceae
Description: long non-coding RNA (NBEN_LNC010990)
Source: RNAcentral
GAACAUGAGAGUUAUUCACUGGCCAGCACUCCGCCCCAUACGACAUGGCAGGUCUAACCAGAGUUCUAUAAAAUUUUCCCUUGAGUUUAUGUGGAACUUUCUUGUCACACAGGAAUCCUGAUGCAAGCCUCCACUUUGACCACCCCGCUCAUAUACGAUGAGUGACAUCCCCGUCAAUCUCUCCGUCCCCCUGAAUCACCGACCCAAGAUAUCUGACACUGUCCCUCUUGG